GACGAACGCUGGCGGCGUGCUUAACACAUGCAAGUCGAGCGGUAAGGCCCUUUCGGGGGUACACGAGCGGCGAACGGGUGAGUAACACGUGGGUGACCUGCCCUCAGCUCUGGGAUAAGCCUGGGAAACCGGGUCUAAUACUGGAUAUGACUCCAUGACGCAUGUUGUGGGGUGGAAAGCCUUGUGCGGCUGAGGAUGGGCCCGCGGCCUAUCAGCUUGUUGGUGGGGUGAGGCCUACCAAGGCGACGACGGGUAGCCGGCCUGAGAGGGCGACCGGCCACACUGGGACUGAGACACGGCCCAGACUCCUACGGGAGGCAGCAGUGGGGAAUCUUGCGCAAUGGGCGAAAGCCUGACGCAGCGACGCCGCGUGAGGGAUGACGGGCCUU
RNAcentral lists this ribosomal RNA (389 nucleotides) under uncultured bacterium. RNAcentral's name for it is "bacterial SSU rRNA". It matches the Rfam family "Bacterial small subunit ribosomal RNA", at positions 28 to 419 of the family's 1533-position model. The record is from RNAcentral.